Molecule: ribosomal RNA, 246 nt
Filed under: uncultured bacterium
Lineage: Bacteria
Description: partial 16S ribosomal RNA
Rfam family: Bacterial small subunit ribosomal RNA
Source: RNAcentral
GAUCCUGGCUCAGGACGAGCGCUGGCGGCGUGCUUAACACAUGCAAGUCGAACGAGAGGACAAGAGAAGCUUGCUUCUUUUGGAAUCGAGUGGCAAACGGGUGAGUAACACGUAAACAACCUGCCUUCAGGAUGGGGACAACAGACGGAAACGACUGCUAAUACCGAAUACGCUUGGUAGACCGCAUGAUCUACCAAGGAAAGGGUGGCCUCUACCUGUAAGCUAUCGCCUGAAGAGGGGUUUGCG